Molecule: ribosomal RNA, 34 nt
Filed under: Meistera yunannensis
Lineage: Eukaryota; Viridiplantae; Streptophyta; Magnoliopsida; Zingiberales; Zingiberaceae
Description: partial 26S ribosomal RNA
Source: RNAcentral
GUGGCCCCAAGUCAGGUGAGGCCCACCCGCCGAG